RNAcentral lists this long non-coding RNA (412 nucleotides) under Oryza brachyantha (malo sina). Its description in RNAcentral is "long non-coding RNA (OBRA_LNC002566)". The record is from RNAcentral. Lineage: Eukaryota; Viridiplantae; Streptophyta; Magnoliopsida; Poales; Poaceae.
UAUUAGGAAUUUGAAGGUAAUAUACCAAACUUGUGCGAUGGCUAUGGCCUUGAUUGUGGAGACUUGAUCAUCAUCUGGAUCUAGUGAGUUUCACACAUUCCGAAGUUCUCCAAAUGACUAGCCUCAUUGUUUUUCUGUAGUUUAUCUUGCCAGAGUUUUAGUUGUCAGCCAUCGAUUAUGAAUUAUGCUGAGGGUUUGUACGUUCUGGUAGGAAGGGCUACUGGGACUGGUCAUGGACGUCCCCAUCUCCUUUGCUAGGUUCUAUAGUAGUAUCUAUUUGUUCACGCGUACUAUUUUUUUGGGUCCUCAAGGCUUUGACCAUCUUACGACUACAACUUGCCAUGAUGCUUGUGUAGUGCUAACAGCAAAACUAUACUUUUUCACAUUAGGAGUUCGGGGCCGCAAUCUCAUG